UUAAAUGAAUUGACGGGGCCCGCACAAGCAGCGGAGCGUGUGGUUUAAUUCGAUGAUACACGAAGAACCUUACCCAGGCUUGACAUGCAGGUAUCGGGUUUACGAAAGUAGGCCCACCCUCGGAGGCCUGCACAGGUGCUGCAUGGCUGUCGUCAGCUCGUGUCGUGAGAUGUCCGGUUAAGUCCGGUAACGAGCGCAACCCUUGCCAUUAGUUGCUACGAAAGGGCACUCUAAUGGGACUGCCGGUGACAAACCGGAGGAAGGUGGGGAUGACGUCAAGUCCUCAUGGCCCUUAUAGGUGGGGCCACACACGUCAUACAAUGGCCGGUACAGAGGGUAGCCAACCCGCGAGGGGGAGCCAAUCCCACAAAGCCGGUCGUAGUCCGGAUCGCAGUCUGCAACUCGACUGCGUGAAGUCGGAAUCGCUAGUAAUCGCGGAUCAGCAUGUCGCGGUGAAUACGUUCCCGGGUCUU
This 473-nucleotide ribosomal RNA is filed under the name uncultured Allobrachymonas sp. RNAcentral describes it as "bacterial SSU rRNA". It matches the Rfam family "Bacterial small subunit ribosomal RNA", at positions 901 to 1382 of the family's 1533-position model. The record is from RNAcentral. Lineage: Bacteria; Pseudomonadati; Pseudomonadota; Betaproteobacteria; Burkholderiales; Comamonadaceae.